GAUGAAUGUUGGCGGCGCGUCUAAUACAUGCAAGUCGAGCGAGGCUUCGAGCCGAGCGGCGGACGGCAGAGUAACACGUGAGGAACCUGCCCCGAAGACCGGGAUAACUCUCCGAAAGGAGCGCUAAUACCGGAUGCCCCCACCGAACCGCAUGGUUUGGUGAGGAAAUGGAUUCCGCUUCGGGAGGGCCUCGCGGCCUAUCAGCUAGUUGGUGGGGUAACGGCCCACCAAGGCAUCGACGGGUAGCUGGUCUGAGAGGACGAUCAGCCACACUGGGACUGAGACACGGCCCAGACUCCUACGGGAGGCAGCAGUGGGGAAUAUUGCGCAAUGGGCGAAAGCCUGACGCAGCCACGCCGCGUGAGCGAUGAAAGCCUUCGGGUCGUAAAGCUCUGUGGGGAGAGAAGAAUAAAGCCUGUGAAGAGCAGGCCUUGACGGUAUCUCCUUAGCAAGCACCGGCUAACUCCGUGCCAGCAGCCGCGGUAAAGUGU
Molecule: ribosomal RNA, 491 nt
Filed under: uncultured bacterium
Lineage: Bacteria
Description: bacterial SSU rRNA
Rfam family: Bacterial small subunit ribosomal RNA
Source: RNAcentral